GUAAAUGUUCCCAGUAGCUGCAGCUCUGGUCUGAGUCUCCUCCUGUGUGGACUGAAGCUGGAGGACACGGUGCUCAAUGGAGGCAGUGACAGGAAAACAAGCAGAGGUGGCAGAAGAGAGCAGGGCACAAAGAAACACGACAGACUCCAGAUCACAGAGAGAACAAAGAGGUGCACCAAACGUCUGAACUCUUUUGUCCCCAGAUUGUGCAUCCAGGGAAAAUCAGUCAUAUCAGCAGCACAACAUCUACAGUUUGCCAUCUCGGACUCUCCACCUCCAGCGCUGACACCUGUCGGGAGCAGGAACGCAGCGCAGCCACAGACAGGACUCUUUGAUCUCUUGCUCAAAGGACACGAUCUUCCUGUCCAGCGUCUCCAAAGUGAAGGCUUUCCCUGAGAUCUGUUAAUGACAGCUGUGCAUUAUCUUGAUACUUUUGCGUGGCUGUGGUGGAGCGGGUCGUCCAUCAAUCAGAAGAUCAGUGGUUCAAACCCCGGCUCCUCCAGUUUGCAUGUCGAAGUAUCCUUGGGCAAGAUACUGAAUGCUCCCGAUGGCUGUUCCAUCAGUGUAUGAAUGGGGUCUUUGCUGCUGCUCUCCCUGCCUUAGACUUUCCAUGUAGGCGCAUGGAAGGUCAGGGAGGUGUGCUACCUCAGCCUCAGGCUUUCCAUGUAAGGGCUUUCUGCCUAGGCCUGAGGAAAAGCAGAGGGGCUCCAGAAGAGAGCCAUACUGCCAAAUAUAAUACUGCACAUGGAAAUAAAGUUUUCUUUGACUGAAGUGGUCCUGACUGAAUUAAUAUUUUGGCAAUUUUGUUCCCCUACAGUUUCAGAGCGGUAGACCACUGUUGUAUAUAUAUUCGCCUGCAAGACUGCAAACUGUUUAUAUGACCCUGACGUAAGCUGUAGUGAUAUGUCUCAUGGCUAACAGGCAAACGUCUACAACCUGACAGCAGAGUGUAUAUCCCUGCCAAUGUUAUUUAUGAAAGAUUGUGACAUGAGCUGUAACCUUAUCUGUGUCAUCCCCGUCUCACUGAGUCUCAUGGACAGCCUUACAGGUUCAUCUGUGGACAAGCUGAAGCUGAAAAUCGAACAUCAGAAGAAGAAGAGCCAUGUCGGCUGACGUGAAAGAUUUUGCACAAAUAUGACUCGGCACAGUUUUAUCUAUUGUGACAUUGGAGAUGAACACACACAAAAUAAAUGACAGAAAGUUUGCUAAGCUUCUGAAUGUGACUUUUGGCAUCCAGAAAAACCCAGAACUCAGUGAGACAGGGAUGACACAAAUGAGGCGACAGCAUAUGUCACAAUCUCUCAUGAAUAACAUCGACAGGGAUGUACACUGUGUGAUUGUCGUAUUUCUUUAGUUAGCCAUGAGACAGAUCACUGCAGCUCACAUCAGGACAGUAAUGUUACAAACACUUUGUAACCCUGCAUUCAUCCGUUUGUUAGUUUACUUUUGUCCGGCCUGCUCGGUCACUCUCUCUUUUUCUCUUAUUCGUUUCCUCUGUGAAUCCUUUACUUUUUGGGCUGAUCGCUACUGCCAUGAUGUUCGUAAUAAGAAAACCGAGCUAGCUUCAUGGUAUCAAAAGACAACAUCAGCCACAACAACUACAGCCAAACUAGCUAGUGCCAUAAAUUGUUACGCUUUGGUGAUCCACUUCGUUUAUCAAAGGGACAUAGUGCACGAACAGCCGUUUGGGGUGCUGAGUGGGAAGGAUAGAGUCACUAUUCUCCCUGUUACAAGUCAGUGUAGCAUCAAGAUAGAACAGAAUAGAAUAGAAUAGAAUAGAAUAGAAGGAACUUUAUUUAUCCCAAAGGGAAAUUCAGCAAUUGAUUGAUUUAGCAGAUUAUAAUAAAGCUUUUAUUUUAAUUUAAAAAGUUACAUAAAGUUGCUUUAAAGAUACUAAAACUUCCAUACACACUUUAAUUUUGUCACGUUGUAAUUAGUACAAUGCACUUUUUACCUGCCUUAAUUGAAAAGCCUAAAGGCCGUAACACAAGCCAACAGUUGUUGGGCUGUUGGUGAGAGUCUAAGGCCCUUGUUGAUGCUAGUCAGCUUUUUUCCGCCUAUUCAGUUGGCAAAGUAAAGCCUGAUUCACUAUGAUUGGCAGUUUGACUUAGCACACGGAAACAGAAACAGAAGUGAGGAAAGUAAACAAACAGCUUAAGUCACGAGGGAGUGAGACGAAAACAAAGUUGUUAGAUAAGGUCAGAUUAUUUUUCUUUAUCCACUGAGCUCUUUAGCAGAAAUGUUUCCUGAUGGUUUGUGUCAUUGUUCUUUCACGCACAGUAAAUAUACUGUUCUUUCAACAUUGCAUUGUGUUGUUAAUGUGCUAACUGGCUAACUAGCGUCAAGAUGAACUUCCACUUUUUGAAUGAUGAUUACAGAUGACCACUGUCUGCUGGUAUGGAAGGGUAUGUCUUCUCACGCAGGAACAGAACGUACGUACUUGUUGGUGUGUUCAUGUGCAUUUUUUUGGUUGAGAAGUUUGGUGUGUCUGGGCCUGGAGACUGAGAGGCUUUUAACUGGGACAAAGAGAUCACAUUACUUUUGUUUUAGCCUCUCUAGAUUAGCUGCCUCUUCAUUUUAGAAAUGAUUAUUAGAUAUUUUACUGCUAAACAUUUAAAGCGUUGCAUUUUGCUACAUCACUGAAAGGUUCUCCACGUGACCUUUGCUGAGUGUUUGUCCUCUCUCAAAUCACUUCUCAGAUCAUACUUUUACUGCAGAGCUAACCCUGAUAUUCAGCUUUCUUUUAUUGAGUUAUUUUAACCACUUUGUUUAAAGCCUGUCUUAUCUUCUUGAUUUUAUUGUUGCCAUAGUCUGUGCUCAUUACACUGUUGUAGUUUCCUGUUCUUGUUGUAUGUUGUUAAAUUCAAAAAUUUUUGUUUUCUGUGUAAAGUACUUAAUUUUGUUGCAGUAUUUCUUUAUAUCAUUUCUUUUUUAUGUUUUAAAGCACUUAACCUUUGUUUGGAAAGUGCUCUAAUAUGCUUUUGGUUAUCAUCAUUAUUAUAAACAAUAAA
This is a long non-coding RNA of Epinephelus moara (kelp grouper), 3011 nucleotides long. RefSeq lists it as uncharacterized. The transcript is spliced from 6 exons. The record is from RefSeq and is a predicted model, not a curated record. Lineage: Eukaryota; Metazoa; Chordata; Actinopteri; Perciformes; Serranidae.